This 696-nucleotide ribosomal RNA is filed under the name uncultured bacterium. Its description in RNAcentral is "bacterial SSU rRNA". It matches the Rfam family "Bacterial small subunit ribosomal RNA", at positions 32 to 715 of the family's 1533-position model. The record is from RNAcentral.
AACGCUAGCUACAGGCUUAACACAUGCAAGUCGAGGGGAAACGACAUCGAAAGCUUGCUUUUGAUGGGCGUCGACCGGCGCACGGGUGAGUAACGCGUAUCCAACCUGCCCAUCACUUGGGGAUAACCUUGCGAAAGUAAGACUAAUACCCAAUGACGUCUCUAGAAGACAUCUGAAAGAGAUUAAAGAUUUAUCGGUGAUGGAUGGGGAUGCGUCUGAUUAGCUUGUUGGCGGGGUAAUGGCCCACCAAGGCGACGAUCAGUAGGGGUUCUGAGAGGAAGGUCCCCCACAUUGGAACUGAGACACGGUCCAAACUCCUACGGGAGGCAGCAGUGAGGAAUAUUGGUCAAUGGACGAGUGUCUGAACCAGCCAAGUAGCGUGCAGGAUGACGGCCCUAUGGGUUGUAAACUGCUUUUAUAAGGGAAUAAAGUGAGAGUCGUGACUCUUUUUGCAUGUACCUUAUGAAUAAGGACCGGCUAAUUCCGUGCCAGCAGCCGCGGUAAUACGGAAGGUCCGGGCGUUAUCCGGAUUUAUUGGGUUUAAAGGGAGCGUAGGCCGGAGAUUAAGCGUGUUGUGAAAUGUAGAUGCUCAACAUCUGAAUUGCAGCGCGAACUGGCAGACUUGAGUGUGCGCAACGUAGGCGGAAUUCGUGGUGUAGCGGUGAAAUGCUUAGAUAUCACGAAGAACUCCGAUUG